AUAAUUGAGAGUUUGAUCCUGGCUCAGGAUAAACGCUGGCGGCGUGCAUAACACAUGCAAGUCGAACGAUGAAACUUAGCUGA
This 83-nucleotide ribosomal RNA is filed under the name Anaerococcus vaginalis. RNAcentral's name for it is "partial 16S ribosomal RNA". It matches the Rfam family "Bacterial small subunit ribosomal RNA", at positions 1 to 83 of the family's 1533-position model. The record is from RNAcentral. Lineage: Bacteria; Bacillati; Bacillota; Tissierellia; Tissierellales; Peptoniphilaceae.